This is an RNA transcript of Myxocyprinus asiaticus (Chinese sucker), 1563 nucleotides long. It is a transcript of the gene named guanine nucleotide-binding protein G(I)/G(S)/G(O) subunit gamma-2-like, with no coding region annotated. Lineage: Eukaryota; Metazoa; Chordata; Actinopteri; Cypriniformes; Catostomidae. The record is from RefSeq and is a predicted model, not a curated record. The transcript has 3 exons.
AAGCUUGCUAUUAUCUUUUUAACAAUAUCUGCGUGAGUGUUUGGGAGAGAGAGAGGAAGUGGGUUUCAGCUGGCUUCCUGAGUGAUUCCACUAGUUGAUGGGCGGAGCAAGAGAAAGACUGUCAGCUGGGGUGGUGUAGCAGGCAGUGUGUCUAUGUGUGUGGGUGCCAGAGUGUCAGAUCAAGCAGUGUAUAUCUGCUACUAUUUCACACUGCUCUUGUGCCAUUGAAGAUUUUACAUACACAGAGAAGAGUCUGAAGACACAGUGGAGGUGAACUCAAUUUCUGAACAGACCAACACAGCAAGAGGACAACAAGAGUAAAAAAUAAGUGUAUGGAGUUUUUCUGGCUGGGCUGGACUCAUUACCUAGAAUGGGUUACCUACCUAGAAUGAGGUCACUGUGACAGCUGACAGUCUAGCGCCCCCUGCUGUUUACUCUCAGCAGUAGGCCUUUAUGUUUAACCUCGCUGCAGGAGGGCCGGCUGAGAUUAAAAACUCCAAUACAUCACAGACAUUUGAGCUCACAGUCAUGACAGGUGUGUCACAAUGUGCUAUCAAUACCCAUCUGGCAAAGCCUCAUGGAAAAAAAAGAUGUACACUUACACACAUACUCAUCAUUGCUUUUCUAUCAUGGUGGGGACUUUUCAUUUACUUCUGUUGCUUUUAUACUGAGCUAAUGAUGUUUUCUUUUUCCCUAACCCUACCCCUAAAUCUAAAAUUUUUUAAAUUUUCAAAAAGGAUAGUUCAUCCAAAAAUGGAAAUUCUCUCAUCACUUACUCACCCUCAUGCCAUCCCAUUUGUGUAUGACUUUAUUUCUUCUGCUGAACACAAAUUAAGAUUUUUAGAAGAAUAUCUCAGCUCUGUAGGUCCAUACAAUGCAAGUGAGGGUGACCAGAACUUUGAAGCACCAAAAAAGCACAAAGGCAACAUAAAAGUAAUCCAUACAACUCCAGUGGUUAAAUCCAUGUCUUCAGAAGCGAUAUGAUAGAUGUGGGUGAGAAACAGAUCAAUAUCUAAGUCCUUUUUUUUUUUUUUUAACUAUAAAUCUACACUUUCACCAGCCCUCCUAUGUGCAUUCAUGAGAGGACCGAGUUCUUCUUCUUCUGCUUUUUAGUGGUUCGCAAUCUUCAUGCAUAUCGUCACCUACUGGUCAAGGAGGAGAAAGAAAAAAGGAAGGGAUAAAGCAAAGGAAAAGAAUAAAUAAAUUAUAUUUGCACAACAGGUGGCGAUAUGCACAAAGAAUGUGAAUCAGCAAAAAACAGAAGAAUAACUCUCUUGAACGCAUAUACUGUAGGAGGGUUGUUGACAAUAUUUACUAUCUUUAUUAAGCUGUUUUCCUUGUGGAGACAGUUUGUUUCAGGUUUUACUAUCCUUGUGGGAACAUUUAAUAUCCCAAUGUAUUGGCAAACAAGACACUCACAUUUUCACUAUAGCUCACAGUUACCUAGAGACACUUUCCGCCACAUAUCCAGCAAUUACAAUUCUGUAAAUUAGAGACAGUUGGAAAGGAUAUAAGGUACAGUCUCAGGCUCACAUGCUGCAUUUUCACUUUGUAUUUCCUGCU